Long non-coding RNA from Xyrauchen texanus (razorback sucker), 1038 nucleotides. RefSeq lists it as uncharacterized. The transcript has 3 exons. The record is from RefSeq and is a predicted model, not a curated record. Lineage: Eukaryota; Metazoa; Chordata; Actinopteri; Cypriniformes; Catostomidae.
GGGCUUUACUUUCAACAGCACUGCCUGCUCAAUAAGGAAGCUAACUGAAAACUUGGGGGAAUUGAAAACUGUUGAGUGUUUCAAGCACUGAAGCAGAGAAGAAAGUGUGAAAACAACUAUAACCAAGGAUACAAAGGGAAAGAGACCUGCCGACCACUAAGAUGCGAAGACUGGAAGUUUUAGCUAUCUACAGCUUUAAUGGACAAGGACCACCUUAUCCAGCUUCUUGCUAAUAAAGACAUUCAACCAGGAGAGGAAAUGGUCACCAGAGACUACAGACCUCAGGACUUUGAGUCACUGAAGGCCCUGCUGAAAGGUGUCUUCUUAUGUCCUGUUCUCAUUGGAUGAGGGGUAAAGUUAGGAUCAAGCUCUGCCUGAACAAUGAUUGUGUAAAGCCUGAAAGUGGAAUACUCUUCGUAAAUAUGCAAACUUAAAAGGCAACGCAAGUUUCUCGCUGAGGAUAUUAGUUAAAGUUACUCAAACUGUUCACAUAUACUGUAGCUAGGUCCCUGAAAAUUAACACAACUGAAUUAAUGUCAAAGACAUUUGAAAGUAACUAUUGCCCCCUUGAGUAUUGAGAUUUUUUACCACAACAGUAACACAAAAAUGCACAUUACAUACACCGAUCAGCCACAACAUUAAAACCCCCUGCCUAAUAUUGUGUAAGUCCUCCUCGUGCCACCAAAACAGCACCAACCCCUCAUCUCAGAAUAGCAUUCUGAGAUAGUAUUCUUCUCACCACCAUUGUACAGGUUAUCUGAGUUACCGUAGACUUUGCAGGAAAGACACUGUGCCUAAUAAAGAUUGCAUGAUAUUGAACCUCCCCAGCAGGUACUGACUGUCUGUUAGUGUGUUGAAUGAAUUGAAUUUUACAUAGCUUCUACAAAGAAACUGUAUUUCCAUAGGUUAAAGCACAAGACACAUUGUCACGGUAGACCAGUAAACAAAGACCUGUUGGUUCAGAGUUUGUUGAUCCAAACCAAAAGAGGAGGCUGAUGUGGUUUGACCAAAUGGACACUAUCUAAACUGGCGAGCAAU